Long non-coding RNA from Sarcophilus harrisii (Tasmanian devil), 646 nucleotides. RefSeq lists it as uncharacterized. NCBI's taxonomy places the organism in Eukaryota, Metazoa, Chordata, Mammalia, Dasyuromorphia, Dasyuridae. The record is from RefSeq and is a predicted model, not a curated record. The transcript has 2 exons.
CUCUCUAUGGAAACACAUCUAGACUGACAUCACUCAGCGGACAAGAUCUUUGUGGCAGGAGACACUCGUUCUGGGAACAUUCCGCUUACUAUAGGCUUCCUCUCUGGGGAAGCACGGCAAGAGAAAAAUUGGCCAUUUAAUGAAAUAGAGGCCGCUGAAGCAUUCCUGAUGAAAAGACAAGAGCUGAGAAGAAAAUGUGACUUGCAAAUUGAAGACUCAAAAGCAGCAUUCAAAGGCAGGUAGAAGCAUUCAAGCUAGAAAGAGGUUUUGGAACUGAACCAUCUGGAUGGGGAUGAUGUAAAAUUGAUAGGUGAAAAAUAUGGAUGCCCUGGGAGAUGGUAGAAGGGAGAGAAAAAUUGGAGGAAAUGAUCCCAUAAAAUAAGCAUUCAAGGAAGAGGUUUUGCCUUGGAGUGGAAAAUGAUGAUGAGGAGAGUGACCAAUUCUUGAACCUCCCUCACAUCUAAAUUGGCUCAAAGAGGGGAAAUAUCGAUAUCUGUAUUUAUAUGUACUUCUUCCAUGGGUCAAAAAAUCUAUUUUACCCUAAAGGUAAGUAGGCAAAUGGGAGAGGAGAAGAAAAAGUGGUGAUAAACGUUGGGCAGUUAAAAGAAUGCAGUGGUCAUGUGCAAAAUAGAACUUAGCAGGGGAA